ACCUGCCCAAUGAGGAUUUAAAUGGCCGCGGUAUUUUGACCGUGCAAAGGUAGCAUAAUCAUUAGUUUUUUAAUUGAAAGCUGGUAUGAAAGGUUGGAUGAGAAAAUAGCUGUCUCUGCUUUAACUAUUUAGAAUUUUAUUUUUAAGUAAAAAAGCUUAAAUUUUAGUAGAAGACGAGAAGACCCUAUAGAGUUUUAUUUAUUUUUUGUUUAAAAUUUUAAGUAUUGAAAAUUUUUAUGUUUAAAAUAAAUUUAAUUGGGGUGAUUGAAAAAUUUAUUAAACUUUUUUUUUAUAUAAUCAUUAAUUUAUGAGUUUUUGAUCCUUUUAUAAAGAUUAUAAGAUUAAAUUACCUUAGGGAUAACAGCGUAAUUUUUUUAAAGAGUUCAAAUCGAAAAAAAAGAUUGCGACCUCGAUGUUGGAUUAAAAUAAAAUUUUGGUGUAGAAGCUAAGAUAUUUAGGUCUGUUCGACCUUUAAAAUUUUACAUGAUCUGAGUUUAAACCGGUGUGAGCCAGGUUGGUUUCUAUCUCUACUUUGUUAUAAUAUUUUAGUACGAAAGGACCAAGUAUUAGUUUGAUAAAUUUAUUUUAGAAUAAUAUU
Molecule: ribosomal RNA, 598 nt
Filed under: Malvinius sp. MAM1
Lineage: Eukaryota; Metazoa; Arthropoda; Insecta; Coleoptera; Curculionidae
Description: partial 16S ribosomal RNA
Rfam family: Bacterial large subunit ribosomal RNA
Source: RNAcentral